AAAGACUACAAAAAAAAAAACAAGUUCUAAUAAUAAGUAUACAUUGUUGAGUUAUUUAAAAUUAUGGCUAGUAAAAUAAAUUUACACAAAAAAAAGUUAAAUUAUGUAUAGGUUAUAACUUGUGUAACAUAAUAUAAUUCAUAUUACUAUGGAUUAUGAUGGGUACUUAAAUAUUUAGUUUAUUAGCAUGAAAGCAUGAAAUCUAAAUUUAAUUCAAAAUUUUGGGGUACACUAUUUACUUAAUACAAUAUACAUACAUGUAUAUACAGUCAUAUUUACACAUAAUUUUCGGAGUUUUUAGUAUAUAAAUUUGCGUUUAAUUCACGGGGAUGCAUGUAAGGAACGGAGUAACUUUUCUUUAAAAAGAAAAAUGUUUAAUCGAACCUCUUCUAAUUAUAUCUUUAUCAACAACAUAUUUUUUACACUUUUUCAUCCCUCUUCCAUUUUUCCCGAUUCGAGUAAUAUAACUAAAACGAUGUGAUUGAUGUCUAGGGUGGUUACACUUUAAGUUAGUUUAAAUUAGGUAAUCUAGGCACCCAGCUAAUUUUAAAAACAACUAACAAGUGUUGUUGUUUUGUAGUAAAUGGAAACUCUUUUAAUAGUAGUGUUAUUAAUAUGUUAUUUAUUAUUAUUUAUAACAAUAUACAAAAUAAUAUGUAAGUUAUAAAGUCAUAAAAGUAUAGUAAUAGAUGAUCUUGUAUCGUAUUGACGUUGAUAGUAUUUUAUGAUUUAAAUAACCUAACUUUUCGUUUCGUCUGUGCCUUGAUUCAUUUUGCUACGCAUAUUCUUAUCGUUUAUACAAAAAAUAAUAUCAUAUUUAGUAUUUGAUCGUUCGAGCUUGAGGCAUAUAUGUAUUCGGUAUUAGGUAUACUAACACCGUCCUCUUAACGUUUUUGUUCGAAUACGAUCGAUAAAGUAAUAUGAUACUGGAGUACCGGGCACGCGCGAACUUGGGGAACAGUAUUGUAGCAGACCCACCGUGGCUGUCCCUCCGUCAAUCCAUUUUAUCUGGUGACGCAAGGCCGCGCUAUCGUUGCCGCCCCCUCACAGGUUGCUGUUUUCGUGAAACAGCGCACACCGUUCUCCCAUUUAAUCAUAUACGGUUUAUUCGGUAGUUACGCGUUGACCGUUUUUGGCUUUUCGCGUGAUAAUCACGGCGCCUGUUCGAACGUUGUAUCGAACAAUCGUCGUUUGCUUAAUUCAUAGACUAAUUAUUAUUUUAUUUUAAGUAGGUACUUGUUAUACUGCUAUAGACAGGCACUACUUCAAAGUUUAUUUUUGAACACGAUUGUAUCAGACACAGGGGAUUCUUAUAAUGGAAGUCGCUAAUUAUCAUUUACUAUUUAUGACAAUAUUUCUAGUAUUUGAGUAUAAUUGUUAUCCAGAUCUCAUUGAAGUAAUUAAAUUAAAAGCUACAUUUUUAACUGAGAAAUAUUUUUGGAGAGGAUUGGGAAUAAUUAUAGUCUUAAUAGACAUUUACUAUUUACAUAUAUUGGUGCCCAAACUGAAUUUCUUGUCAAAUGGAGGCUUUUGUAAUUUUUCAAAUUACAAUGAAGCAAUGAACAUUUAUGAUAUCUUCAAACUUAGUUUAUUCAUACUGUUCUUACAUUAUUACGUAAAAUUUUUUACAUACAGACGUGAAUGGGUAAGUUAUAAAUGGCUGGAGAAUUUCAUAAUUGUUGGAUCAUACAUAGUAGUUUUCAUAAUAGUUUUAAUGUUGAGCUACCUAGGCUUAAUUAUAGUUCCAAGUACUGCAUUUGAAAAAAUAGCAUUUUUUAUUUUAAUAGUUGUAAGUUAUUUUGCUUAUUACAUUGCUUGUGCAACAGAUUGGUUAGAUGAGUACAUUUACUCAUCGUGUUAUACUUAUACCUCUACUGUUAAUCACAUCGUAUUGAAAGGUCGAAAAUAUUUGACGUUAACCGACUUGGCAAUACGUUGGCGGCCUAAAAAAACAAAGAAAAUUACCCAGAAGAAAGAAGAAAUUGUCCAAUCAACACCACAAGAUCCCAUAAUAAAUAAAUAUCUCUUAGUGAAUAAAGGCCUUAAUGAUAACCAUCAAUCCUUAAAGACGUCUCAGUCCCCAGAUUGUGAAAGUGAAUAUCUUCAACCUACCAGGAUUGUCCGUCCAAAUACUUAUUACGAUCAACCUGAUAAAUUUGCUCCAUCGAUCUGUCCACCGCGACCGAGUGUGCCGAUUGCUAUGGAUACCGAAUACCACGGUCGGGCAAGUGUGCGCAGCGACCGUGGGCGUUAAAUACCUACUAACACAAUGUCGAUGUGUUGGCCAAGUUCGCUCAUUCAUUUGACGUCGUCUUCCGUUUCGUCCUUCACGUGCACACUACUUUCAACUAAAAUGUAGUCCCUCCGUGCGGAGUCGUCGCCAGAAGGGCGUACCAAAAACUCCCGACUCAAAUACAUCGAUCGGGAAUCGGACCUACAUCUGAAUGUACUGGUCGUUUAAGACGUGCAGCUGUUGUUAGUAACCACCUACACGUCUAGUUACAGUACAAGAUUGAAACAUCGCCUUUGAAGUCUGCUGAAAUACUGUUCAAACACAGAUCAUCACAAACAAUGCAUCGAUGGACGGGGUACAGAGAUAUUUACUCCUACUUUUUAGUGGAGUCAACAUCUGUGGUUCCGCAAUCUAGUAUAUAAUACAACUUUCCAGUGUUGUGUUCUUAACCACGGUCAAACCGAUCAAGGAAGGAACGUUGUUACGCUUUGGUUGGUUUUCUUCGACACAACACACAAGAUAUCAACUAUCAACACGUAAUGAGCCCACCACCGUUAAACAAAAACAUUUUGCAACAGUGUACUUAUUCUCAUACUAAUUGUAGUAAGGUAUAUAAAAGUAUUAAUAUGCGUGAUAAUUAAUAAUAUAAACUAACGAACGUAUUUCUUUAUCAUUUAAGUAUAGAGAGUUAACUAGAUAAUUAUAAAUACCUAGGUAAUAUGCUAAGUAAUUGUAACCAAAGUAUUUAUAUAUAUAUAUUACACUAACUUGAUUUAUAAGUUUUUAAUAAUAAACGUUAAUUACUGUUAAUCUCUAUAAAAAAUAGUGUACUUAGAUUUUUAAAAAAAAAAUAUAUUUUGAUGUACAUUCAUAGAGAAUGGUUGCAUAUAUACUAUUUACCUAAAACAAAAUGUAUAUACUCAAAUUAAAAAUUUAGUAGAUUCUUCAAUCAUGGGCAUAAUUUAUUUUAACUAAUUUUCCAAAAUUAAAAUAAUUUAAUUUGAAUAACUUGAAAUAUACAAAAAUAAGUAACAAAAAAAUAAUGAAAGUUUGAUUAAAUACUUUGUAAAUUAUAUUUUAUUAUACAUUAUUAAAAUUAAUAAUCGAAAAUGGUUAAACAUAAAAUCCUUUACGUUAUACAACAUCAUAAAAGCUAUUCCCUACAACUAUCAACUAAUUAAUAGGAAAUAUUAACUUACUUGGUCAACUUACAAAUCAUGUCUACUUACUAUCACUUAAUUGGUAAAAAUUAUUUUAACUUAUUUAUUUAAAAUUUUAAUAAUUAAAUAUAAAUUACUAAUACAAGCUACAUUAUUGAUAAGAGAUUAACUUAAUUUAUGUUUAUUUAAUGUGUUUAUUAUUUCUUAAUUGUAUUAGUGAAUAAGUAAUUAUAAGAAGUAGUCAAAAUUUCUGUGAUAACUACCUUUCAUCAACAAAAGUAAUUUUGUUAUUCAUUACCAGAGCCGUUAGGUUAACCUAACCAUGGGGGGAGGGGCUAGGGGACAUGCGCCUGUGGCGCAUGGUUUAAACUGUUUAAAGGGUUAUAAAAAAUUUUUUUUUAGAAUAUUAGGGGGCUAAUAUUUAACCGCCCUGGACAUUAAAUCUUAACGGCACGGCUCUGUUCAUUACUAAUACACAAAUAUAUAAUUUAUACUAGCCACUAGGAUGUAUCAUCCAAAAUGUGUUAGAAUUUUGUCUUGUGUAAAGUUUUUAGUACUAGGCUGGUUAGAAUAAUAAUAAUUAUUAUAACAAGAUAAGAUAUAAAGAUGCUUAAUCAUUAUAAAUGUAAUCAAUAGUUAAUCUGUAAUUCUCUAAAACUGUCAACAACCAACUCAAAUCUAAAUGUGUUCUCUCCAAAAAUUGUAUUUAAUAGCUCUAUUACAAUAUAGCUGUUAAUAACCAUUAAAAAUUAUUUUAAUUGGUUUAGAAAAUAGUUUUAAAAUUUUAACUAAAAUUAUAUAAACAAUAAACAACAACAAAAUUAUGUAAGUUAAACUAAUUUGUUUAAAAAUGUGUGUGUUUGUUAUAUUUUGUAUAAGAACAAUAAAUUAAAGAGGAUGACCACACUUAAAAACCUUUGUGAUAUUCAACAUCAUAGUUAAAUGUCAUCCUCUUCAAUUUUGCACUACCAAUUAAUGUUAAAUGCACUUUUUUAAAAAAUUAUGUCAGGUAAAUAAAAUGUACUUUAACAGAUUUUCUAAAAUCUUAUCAAAUAAAAUUUUAAUAACAAUUAUUCAUUAGAAUAUACGAUUCCGUAAAUUUCAUUCACACACACAUAUAUUAUAUAUGUGUAUAGGUAUAUAUUAAAACAUAAUUCCACAUACGUUUAAAUUCAACAUUGCUAUGCCAAAAACCUGAUAGACAAAAUAUAGUUGUAUUGUUGUUACAACAUAUGUUAUAAAUAAAUUAUUUUGUGCUUUAAACAGUUUUAAACAGUACCGAGCUUUGGAAAAUAUGAUUUUUAUAUUUAUUUUACAAAUAAUGUUGAAUUCAUUGGAUUACAAAAUUUUAUAUUAUUACUCGGACAUAAUAUGGUUAAAUAUUUCCUUUCGAUGUGAUAUAUUUUGGAAUUGUAACAACACAUUGUGUUUCAUUUGAGUUCAUAAUGAAAGGAUGUCAAUAUUUUAAGUCCAUAGAUUUAAAAUUGCAUAUAACGUAUGAGAAUGAUAUCCGUUAGAUUAUGAAGUAUAUACCUAUAGCUACUAAUAUAAUAUUUAUGUGUGUCUUCUCAUACUAUGUAUACGACUAUAAGAGUAAUAAAUUAAAGAGCAUGACUAGACAUAGAAACCUUAGCAAUAUUCAACAUCAUAAUUAAGUAUCAUCCUCCACAUUUUCGCACUAUAAAUUAAUAUCAAAUUUAUUUAUUUAAAAAAUUGUGUCAGAUAAAUAAAAUUUAUUUUAACAUAUUUUCUAAAAUCUCAUCAAUUAAAAUUCUAAAAAUAAGAGAUUAACUAUAAUAAAAUUUGUAUAAAAUGGGUUUAGUUGCAAAUAAAGGAAUAAUUCUGGCUCCUUUCAGAUUAAACUGUUUUCAUUUAUAAUAAAAAAAAAAAUGUUUUCCAAAUUAAUGACACUCAUCUUACAAUAACAUAAAAGGGCCAUCAAAUAACUAUCACUACAUGUAUCAAAAAAAAUUGUUUUAUUUAUAAAUCCUUGUGACUACAAUAUUAAAUGGUUUUAAUUUAAGGUCAUUUAUUUUUUAAAUUUAUAUUGUAAAAAUUUAGAUUUCAAUAAUUUUUUGUGUGAAUUUAAAAUUGUUAGAAUAAUUUUGUUAUUUGAUGUAAUGACUCUUAAUUGAGGUUGUUUUUGUGGCUCAUAGGCAGAAAUGAUUAUUUAAUAAUAUAUGUAAUAUUAUUGUUAUAACUAAAUUCUAAGGAUUUUAGUGUAAAGCUGUUAGAAUAAUUUUGUUAAUUUAUAUCAUGAAUAUUAAUUAAGGUUGGUUUUAUGUCUUCUACUAAGCAGAAUUACUAAUAAUAUUUAUAUAACGCCACAUAAAAAUUAAAUUAUAAGAAUUUUAACAUAACAUUGGAAGAAUAAUUUAUGUUAUGACAUUUAGUUAAGGUUUUUUUUUGUGAUUCUUAAGCAAAAGUGAUUAUUUAUUAAUAUAUAAAAUUACAUGUAAGAACUAACUAAAUAUUAAAGUUUAAGUACAAAAAGAACAUUGUAACUACCCACUAAUUUCCAAAGUAGAUACUUAAACUAAAGAAUAUAAAAACUUCUAAUAAUACAUAUAUCAAUUAUUAUAACACAUAAACGCUUCUGUCGUCUGAGUUUUUAUGCCUCUUGGGCUUUUCUCAGCUACAUUAAUAAAACAUUUAAACCCGAUUGUAUUGAUUUUAAUAAAUUAUCAACUCGUUACAACUCUAAACUAUUUUAUAUUUUUAUUACAUACAUAAAUACUAAACCAGACACACAAAUUUUCUAAAACGUCUAAAGCUAUGACACUGAUAACUUAAAAAAUCUUAAAUGAUGUUAUUCUGGAUAUUUUCAUAUCGACAUAUAAGUAUUUUCCCGAAUAUUUAGAUUAAUAGGCGAAAUGAGUGUACGAGUAGUCAGUAACGCGUGCUGUUGAGUUCUUUUUUUUUAUAUGUUCAUUUAAUGUAUACGUGUAAUUAGUUAUUGUAAGGCAACGUUGCUUUUAAAAUUAUGCGGGAUCGUGCAUGUAGUUCAAUGGCUAUUAAAAUCAACGCAAUACAUUAAAUUUUCAAAAUCGUGUUAUGGCCAAACGAACACUAUUCAGUUUAUUCGUAAACAGAGUAGCAACCUUAUAUAAUCCUGAUACCUGAGUCGCGGUUUUUGUACUUAAAAUCCGCGGUGCGGCGGAGAUCAAGGCACAUUAGUAGCGCGUGUGAAGUCAUUGUACAAUAUAAAUCGUAGAAUCGUUGUUAUAAGGUAGAUAUUGUCCUAUUGUCAUUUUGUUUCAAAUUAUAUGACUACAAGCACAACACUUCCUAAAAACCGUCGUUUGAGUAUCAGGAUAUCAUGGUUUGGUGACGUUGUCUCGAUUUAUCAGUAGUACGAGUGCAUAUCUGCUGUAUACGUCGAAUAUCAGUCACAAAAUUAGUUUUUUUAGUAAAUUUAUUUUCCAUCUAGAUAAGAGCGUUUAAAAUUUUAUGUAUUUUAUUAGAAAUUCAAACGAUUUAAAAAAUAUUAAACAUUUUUUGUAACAAUCCAUAAUAUAUUGCAUUUUGUAUCUCAUGCCGUUG
RNA transcript from Aphis gossypii (cotton aphid), 6936 nucleotides. RefSeq lists it as uncharacterized. The record is from RefSeq and is a predicted model, not a curated record. The transcript has 9 exons. NCBI's taxonomy places the organism in Eukaryota, Metazoa, Arthropoda, Insecta, Hemiptera, Aphididae.